UCUUUAUAGAAGGGAUAUUAGGUAAAAUCAACUGUUUUGAGCUUUACGUCAUGUUUUAAUGUUAUUCGCUCAUCA
This is a long non-coding RNA of Xiphophorus hellerii (green swordtail), 75 nucleotides long. RefSeq lists it as uncharacterized. The record is from RefSeq and is a predicted model, not a curated record. Lineage: Eukaryota; Metazoa; Chordata; Actinopteri; Cyprinodontiformes; Poeciliidae. The transcript has 3 exons.